RNAcentral lists this ribosomal RNA (507 nucleotides) under Triticum aestivum (bread wheat). RNAcentral describes it as "partial small subunit ribosomal RNA". The record is from RNAcentral. Lineage: Eukaryota; Viridiplantae; Streptophyta; Magnoliopsida; Poales; Poaceae.
AUGAUGUGGAUUCAGAUGGAACAUCCGAAGCAGCUCACUUUUACAUUCAGAAACCUGACCAAUGUGGGGCUUUUUGGUAUCUUUCCUGAGUGUGAUCUGAGAUGGACCAUAUUUAUCCUUGAAGCUGCAGCUGCCCUGCAAAAUUUCAGAGUUUGUCUGUUGUCUCGAGAACGGCAUUCGUGUGCCAAAAUAGCAAAGUGCAUUGCUGAGAAGACCAAUUUGGUGUGGGAGCCAUUGAAGGAUUUGAAGCACCUGAACUUGAAGGUUCUCCAAAUGUCCGGGUUCGAGGAGGAAGACAAGGUGACAAACUACAUAAGGCUAGUCAUGGAGCGAACUGUGGGGUUGAAGAGAAUUGAGCUCCAUGGAGAAGAGCCAUGCGAGAAAUGCGACGACAUUGAUGACAUUGACCCGAGGAAGAGAUCCCAGGUGGAUGAAGCUCGCAGGCGUUGGAUUAAGGAGCGACUCACACAUGGGCCCUCCUCAUCCGUGGAGAUAAUAAUAUGCUGA